GUGUCAGCAGCCGCGGUAAUACGGAGGGUGCGAGCGUUAAUCGGAAUUACUGGGCGUAAAGCGCACGCAGGCGGUUUGUUAAGCUAGAUGUGAAAGCCCCGGGCUCAACCUGGGAUGGUCAUUUAGAACUGGCAGACUAGAGUCUUGGAGAGGGGAGUGGAAUUCCAGGUGUAGCGGUGAAAUGCGUAGAUAUCUGGAGGAACAUCAGUGGCGAAGGCGACUCCCUGGCCAAAGACUGACGCUCAUGUGCGAAAGUGUGGGUAGCGAACAGGAUUAGAUACCCUGGUAGUCCACACCGUAAACGCUGUCUACUAGCUGUUUGUGACUUUAAGUCGUGAGUAGCGAAGCUAACGCGAUAAGUAGACCGCCUGGGGAGUACGGCCGCAAGGUUAAAACUUAAAGGAAUUGACGGGG
RNAcentral lists this ribosomal RNA (414 nucleotides) under uncultured bacterium. RNAcentral describes it as "bacterial SSU rRNA". It matches the Rfam family "Bacterial small subunit ribosomal RNA", at positions 505 to 918 of the family's 1533-position model. The record is from RNAcentral.